RNAcentral lists this ribosomal RNA (500 nucleotides) under uncultured bacterium. RNAcentral's name for it is "partial 16S ribosomal RNA". It matches the Rfam family "Bacterial small subunit ribosomal RNA", at positions 30 to 522 of the family's 1533-position model. The record is from RNAcentral.
AUUGAACGCUGGCGGCAGGCUUAACACAUGCAAGUCGAGCGGGGGAAGGUAGCUUGCUACUGGACCUAGCGGCGGACGGGUGAGUAAUGCUUAGGAGGCUGCCUAUUAGUGGGGGACAACAUCUCGAAAGGGAUGCUAAUACCGCAUACGUCCUACGGGAGAAAGCAGGGGAUCUUCGGACCUUGCGCUAAUAGAUGAGCCUAAGUCGGAUUAGCUAGUUGGUGGGGUAAAGGCCUACCAAGGCGACGAUCUGUAGCGGGUCUGAGAGGAUGAUCCGCCACACUGGGACUGAGACACGGCCCAGACUCCUACGGGAGGCAGCAGUGGGGAAUAUUGGACAAUGGGGGGAACCCUGAUCCAGCCAUGCCACGUGUGUGAAGAAGGCCUUAUGGUUGUAAAGCACUUUAAGCGAGGAGGAGGCUACUUUAGUUAAUACCUAGAGAUAGUGGACGUUACUCGCAGAAUAAGCACCGGCUAACUCUGUGCCAGCCGCCGCGUAA